This 296-nucleotide unclassified non-coding RNA is filed under the name Basidiomycota sp. Its description in RNAcentral is "partial contains small subunit ribosomal RNA, internal transcribed spacer 1, and 5.8S ribosomal RNA". The stretch from base 1 to 47 matches the Rfam family "Eukaryotic small subunit ribosomal RNA", at positions 1785 to 1831 of the family's 1831-position model. The record is from RNAcentral. Lineage: Eukaryota; Fungi; Basidiomycota.
AAAGUCGUAACAAGGUAUCUGUAGGUGAACCUGCAGAUGGAUCAUUUCGAUGAAAACCUUUUUUUCGUGAGGUGUGGCUCGCACCUGUCUAACUAAACUGAGCUACCAUUUUCAACACGGUUGCACGGGUGGGCCUGUUGAUUAGUGCGGACGCGCUAGGAGACGGGUUUACCACUCAACACAAACACGUUUGAUGAUCUAGGAUUUGAAGGAAGUUCAUUUUACGAUGGAACCGACUGGUAAUGCGGUCGUCUAAAUCUAAAAAAUAACUUUUGGCAACGGAUCUCUUGGUUCUC